Molecule: long non-coding RNA, 363 nt
Organism: Talpa occidentalis (Iberian mole)
Lineage: Eukaryota; Metazoa; Chordata; Mammalia; Eulipotyphla; Talpidae
Exons: 3
Source: RefSeq, a predicted model, not a curated record
ACAUUUGUGUUUAGAACUUUAAAAGACUGGACACUGCUUCAGACUUGCCUGGCCGCUUCUGCCCUUCUCCUAUGAGUCUCCACCAGAAAGUGCCUUAUUCUUGUUGUAAGCCCUCAGGCCUCAGCGGUCCUGCUCUGGGCCAACUCUAUUUGGCUGGAUAUUUACAUGCAAUGGAAUGGCUCUAACAGCAGAAAAGCUGGGAACAGGUGAAGAAGCUGUGAUUGCUUCUCAGCCUUGGACUUGUGCCAGAGACUUGGGGGACAUGGAAGGAGACACUGGGAACAGAUGUGGGUGAGACACCUAUGGGGAGAUUACAGUGGCAACAUUUAUCUUGAUUUUGAUUUUGCUCUUUUCCUUCCAGAC